Molecule: transfer RNA, 71 nt
Filed under: Allacta australiensis
Lineage: Eukaryota; Metazoa; Arthropoda; Insecta; Blattodea; Pseudophyllodromiidae
Description: tRNA-Tyr
Source: RNAcentral
AGUAGAAUGUCUGAGAUAAUUGAUAGGUAAUAAAUUGUAAAUUUAUUUAGGAGUUUAAUACUCUUCUACUA